UGCUAUGUGAUUGCCACUGCAGUGAACAC
Molecule: non-coding RNA, 29 nt
Filed under: Bombyx mori (domestic silkworm)
Lineage: Eukaryota; Metazoa; Arthropoda; Insecta; Lepidoptera; Bombycidae
Source: RNAcentral